Molecule: non-coding RNA, 285 nt
Organism: Vicia faba (fava bean)
Lineage: Eukaryota; Viridiplantae; Streptophyta; Magnoliopsida; Fabales; Fabaceae
Source: the annotation of a GenBank genome assembly
AUGAAAUUCCUCUUCAUUUUUUCUCAAUCAAACACAAAAAUUUCUUGUGCCAUAUUCUCCUAUAUCCAUCGUCCUUUCAAAUGGCUCCCUCCGCAACCACCGUAUUCCUUCUCCGCUAACAACCUUCGAAAACCCACACCGGAUUCCACCCUUUCCAUUGUAAACCUUCUUCAUUCUUCCGAACAGACCACAAAAUCAUCAUACUCCCCCAGUCUGUUCAUUCGAGUUAAUAUCCCUGCUAACUCCCUCACCUCUAUCAAUUGUUUCUCAAGACAGAUCAAGUAG